Molecule: RNase P RNA, 346 nt
Filed under: Candidatus Hepatoplasma crinochetorum Av
Lineage: Bacteria; Bacillati; Mycoplasmatota; Mollicutes; Mycoplasmatales; Hepatoplasmataceae (SeqCode)
Description: Bacterial RNase P class B
Rfam family: Bacterial RNase P class B
About the family: Ribonuclease P (RNase P) is a ubiquitous endoribonuclease, found in archaea, bacteria and eukarya as well as chloroplasts and mitochondria. Its best characterised activity is the generation of mature 5'-ends of tRNAs by cleaving the 5'-leader elements of precursor-tRNAs. Cellular RNase Ps are ribonucleoproteins.
Source: Rfam by way of RNAcentral
GUUAUCAACUGAUCGCAGAGUAUUUAUUUAAAUAUUUUGAGGAAAGUCCAUGCUAGCACUUACUGAGAUGUAAGUAAUGUUUGUGGAAUAGGAAAAAAUAACUAUUCAAACAAGAGCAAACUUGUUAUGGCAAAUUUAAAUCUAAGGUUUUUUAAAUUAUGAUUUAAAUUGUGGUGCCACAGAGACGAGCUUAAAAGAAAUUUUAAGGUGAAACGAGGUAAACCCCACAAGCUAGAAACCUAAAUUAUGGUAAGGGAACCAAAAUAGGGAAAUCAACCGAUUUUUGGAAUUAAUGAUAAUUCAUUAGUUAGAUAAAUGGUCAGAUAAACAAAAUAUGGCUUACGAU